RNAcentral lists this ribosomal RNA (326 nucleotides) under uncultured bacterium. Its description in RNAcentral is "bacterial SSU rRNA". It matches the Rfam family "Bacterial small subunit ribosomal RNA", at positions 29 to 366 of the family's 1533-position model. The record is from RNAcentral.
AACGAACGCUGGCGGCGUGCCUAACACAUGCAAGUCAAACGGAUGUAGCAAUACAUAAAGUGGCGCACGGGUGAGUAAUACAUGGGAAUCUUCCGAGUAGAGAAGGACAACUCCUGGAAACGGGUGCUAAUACUUCGUAAGCAAGCAAUUGGAAAGGUGGGACCGCAAGGCCUACCGCUAUUCGAUGAGCUCAUGUCCCAUUAGCUAGUUGGCGGGGUAACAGCCCACCAAGGCGAAGAUGGGUAGCUGGUCUGAGAGGACGAUCAGCCACACUGGAACUGAGACACGGUCCAGACUCCUACGGGAGGCAGCAGUGGGGAAGUAUU